UUUCCACAGAUUGGUGGCGUUUUGCAGAUGCUCAGGGUCAAGGGUCGGCGGCCUUUUUCCCUCAUCUUCUGGGUCUGCCGGCAUUAUUCAGCGCACCAGCCCUGAACCAAGAGCAACCCCUCCUUCAGUCUCACGCAGCCAGACGCGCUCCGGUGAAAGGACUGAAUGGCUCCAUCAAUGGAAAGGCGAAAUCAAGCUCAGCCUCCUCCACACCCUCUCCAGUCCUCAUCCCUCCAGAUCAGACCAAGAGCCUGAAAACCAGCCCCAAACCAGCACUAAACCAGCUAGAGGAGAAAACUAGACACAAAACAAAAGACGAGAAGCCGCAUAGCAAAGUGCCAGACGUCUCCAUCAACAGCGACAGCCAAUCAGCAUCCAGCUCUGACAGCUCGAGCGAUGCUCUUAGCAGCUCUGACUCAGACGACCUGGAGGAUGUUGACGAUGAUGAUGAUGAUGAUCAGAGUGAUGAUAGUGUGGACUCAGAAAAGUGCAGAAAAGAUCAGAAAGUUAUCC
This is a long non-coding RNA of Sinocyclocheilus rhinocerous, 513 nucleotides long. RefSeq lists it as uncharacterized. The transcript is spliced from 3 exons. The record is from RefSeq and is a predicted model, not a curated record. NCBI's taxonomy places the organism in Eukaryota, Metazoa, Chordata, Actinopteri, Cypriniformes, Cyprinidae.